This 393-nucleotide ribosomal RNA is filed under the name uncultured bacterium. RNAcentral describes it as "partial 16S ribosomal RNA". It matches the Rfam family "Bacterial small subunit ribosomal RNA", at positions 523 to 918 of the family's 1533-position model. The record is from RNAcentral.
CUACGGAGGAUGCAAGCGUUAUCCGGAUUUAUUGGGUUUAAAGGGUGCGUAGGCUGUUCGGAAAGUCAGGGGUGAAAGCCCGGCGCCUAACGCCGGAACUGCCUUUGAUACUUCCGAGCUGGAAUACGGAUGCCGUGGGAGGAAUGAGUAGUGUAGCGGUGAAAUGCAUAGAUAUUACCCAGAACACCGAUUGCGAAGGCAUCUCACGAAUCCGUCAUUGACGCUGAGGCACGAAAGCGUGGGGAUCAAACAGGAUUAGAUACCCUGGUAGUCCACGCAGUAAACGAUGAUGACUAACCGUCGGCGAUACACAGUCGGUGGCCAAGCGAAAGCGAUAAGUCAUCCACCUGGGGAGUACGUUCGCAAGAAUGAAACUCAAAUGAAUUGACGGGG